CAACUUUCAACAAUGGAUCUCUUGGCUCUGGCAUCGAUGAAGAACGCAGCGAAAUGCGAUAAGUAGUGUGAAUUGCAGAAUUCAGUGAAUCAUCGAAUCUUUGAACGCACAUUGCGCCCCUUGGUAUUCCAUGGGGCAUGCCUGUUCGAGCGUCAU
Molecule: ribosomal RNA, 156 nt
Filed under: Coniothyrium sp. AK9629
Lineage: Eukaryota; Fungi; Ascomycota; Dothideomycetes; Pleosporales; Coniothyriaceae
Description: 5.8S ribosomal RNA
Rfam family: 5.8S ribosomal RNA
About the family: 5.8S ribosomal RNA (5.8S rRNA) is a component of the large subunit of the eukaryotic ribosome. It is transcribed by RNA polymerase I as part of the 45S precursor that also contains 18S and 28S rRNA. Functionally, it is thought that 5.8S rRNA may be involved in ribosome translocation.
Source: RNAcentral